RNAcentral lists this ribosomal RNA (489 nucleotides) under uncultured Methanosaeta sp. Its description in RNAcentral is "bacterial SSU rRNA". It matches the Rfam family "Archaeal small subunit ribosomal RNA", at positions 849 to 1338 of the family's 1478-position model. Lineage: Archaea; Methanobacteriati; Methanobacteriota; Methanomicrobia; Methanotrichales; Methanotrichaceae. The record is from RNAcentral.
CAGAAACUACAAAGGAAGUUGACGGGGAGGCACUACAACGGUGGAGCCUGCGGUUUAAUUGGAUCAACGCCGGAAAUCUCACCGGGGCGACAGCAAUAUGAAGGUCAGGCUGAAGACCUUACCCGAUUAGCUGAGAGGUGGUGCAUGGCCGUCGUCAGUUCGUACUGUGAAGCAUCCUGUUAAGUCAGGCAACGAGCGAGACCCACGUCCACAGUUGCCAGCAUACCCUCCGGGGUGAUGGGUACACUGUGGAGACCGCCGCUGCUAAAGCGGAGGAAGGAGUGGGCAACGGUAGGUCAGUAUGCCCCGAAUCUCCCGGGCUACACGCGGGCUACAAUGGUUGGUACAAUGGGCAUCUACCCCGAAAGGGGAAGGAAAUCUCUUAAAGCCAAUCGUAGUUCGGAUUGAGGGCUGCAACUCGCCCUCAUGAAGCUGGAAUCCGUAGUAAUCGCGUUUCAACAGAACGCGGUGAAUACGUCCCUGCUCCUU